This 506-nucleotide ribosomal RNA is filed under the name uncultured bacterium. RNAcentral's name for it is "partial 16S ribosomal RNA". It matches the Rfam family "Bacterial small subunit ribosomal RNA", at positions 29 to 523 of the family's 1533-position model. The record is from RNAcentral.
AGUGAACGCUGGCGGUAGGCCUAACACAUGCAAGUCGAACGGCAGCACAGGAGAGCUUGCUCUCUGGGUGGCGAGUGGCGGACGGGUGAGGAAUACAUCGGAAUCUACUCUGUCGUGGGGGAUAACGUAGGGAAACUUACGCUGAUACCGCAUACGACCUACGGGUGAAAGCAGGGGACCUUCGGGCCUUGCGCGAUUGAAUGAGCCGAUGUCGGAUUAGCUAGUUGGCGGGGUAAAGGCCCACCAAGGCGACGAUCCGUAGCUGGUCUGAGAGGAUGAUCAGCCACACUGGAACUGAGACACGGUCCAGACUCCUACGGGAGGCAGCAGUGGGGAAUAUUGGACAAUGGGCGCAAGCCUGACCCAGCCAUACCGCGUGGGUGAAGAAGGCCUUCGGGUUGUAAAGCCCUUUUGUUGGGAAAGAAAUCCAGCUGGCUAAUACCCGGUUGGGAUGACGGUACCCAAAGAAUAAGCACCGGCUAACUUCGUGCCAGCCGCCGCGGUAA